UAGGGAGCGAGCGUUAUCCGGAUUUAUUGGGUGUAAAGCGUGUGUAGGCGGUUUAUUAAGUCUAAGGUUUAAGCCUGGAGCUCAACUCCAGUUCGCCUUAGAAACUGAUUUACUUGAGUGUGGUAGAGGCAAGUGGAAUUUCUAGUGUAGCGGUAAAAUGCGUAGAUAUUAGAAGGAACACCAGUGGCGAAGGCGACUUGCUGGGCCAUUACUGACGCUGAGACACGAAAGCGUGGGGAGCAAA
This 244-nucleotide ribosomal RNA is filed under the name uncultured bacterium. RNAcentral describes it as "partial 16S ribosomal RNA". It matches the Rfam family "Bacterial small subunit ribosomal RNA", at positions 528 to 772 of the family's 1533-position model. The record is from RNAcentral.